UAGGGAAUCUUCCACAAUGGACGCAAGUCUGAUGGAGCAACGCCGCGUGAGUGAAGAAGGUUUUCGGACCGUAAAGCUCUGUUGUUGGUGAAGAAGGAUAGAGGUAGUAACUGGCCUUUAUUUGACGGUAAUCAACCAGAAAGUCACGGCUAACUACGUGCCAGCAGCCGCGGUAAUACGUAGGUGGCAAGCGUUGUCCGGAUUUAUUGGGCGUAAAGCGAGCGCAGGCGGAAGAAUAAGUCUGAUGUGAAAGCCCUCGGCUUAACCGAGGAAUUGCAUCGGAAACUGUUUUCUUGAGUGCAGAAGAGGAGAGUAGAACUCCAUGUGUAGCGGUGGAAUGCGUAGAUAUAUGGAAGAAUACCAGUGGCGAAGGCGGCUCUCUGGUCUGCAACUGACGCUGAGGCUCGAAAGCAUGGGUAGCGAACAGGGUUAGAUACCCUGGUAGUCCAUGCCGUAAACGAUGAGUGCUAAGUGUUGGGAGGCUUCCGCCUCUCAGUGCUGCAGCUAACGCAUUAAGCACUCCGCCUGGGGGAGU
This 535-nucleotide ribosomal RNA is filed under the name uncultured bacterium. RNAcentral's name for it is "partial 16S ribosomal RNA". It matches the Rfam family "Bacterial small subunit ribosomal RNA", at positions 355 to 881 of the family's 1533-position model. The record is from RNAcentral.